AUUGAACGCUGGCGGAAUGCUUUACACAUGCAAGUCGAACGGUAGAGGGGGCAACCCCUUGAGAGUGGCGAACGGGUGAGUAAUAUAUCGGAACGUGCCCAGUCGUGGGGAUAACGUAGCGAAAGUUACGCUAAUACCGCAUACGAUCUAAGGAUGAAAGCGGGGGAUCGCAAGACCUCGCGCGAUUGGAGCGGCCGAUAUCAGAUUAGGUAGUUGGUGAGGUAAAGGCUCACCAAGCCAACGAUCUGUAGCUGGUCUGAGAGGACGACCAGCCACACUGGAACUGAGACACGGUCCAGACUCCUACGGGAGGCAGCAGUGGGGAAUAUUGGACAAUGGGCGCAAGCCUGAUCCAGCCAUGCCGCGUGUGUGAAGAAGGCCU
This 382-nucleotide ribosomal RNA is filed under the name uncultured bacterium. RNAcentral's name for it is "bacterial SSU rRNA". It matches the Rfam family "Bacterial small subunit ribosomal RNA", at positions 30 to 417 of the family's 1533-position model. The record is from RNAcentral.